CAUUGUAGGUUGUCCGUGACUAUUACCCC
RNAcentral lists this non-coding RNA (29 nucleotides) under Cricetulus griseus (Chinese hamster). Lineage: Eukaryota; Metazoa; Chordata; Mammalia; Rodentia; Cricetidae. The record is from RNAcentral.